UACAGAGGGUGCAAGCGUUAAUCGGAAUUACUGGGCGUAAAGCGUGCGUAGACGGUUACAUAAGUCGGGUGUGAAAGCCCCGGGCUCAACCUGGGAAUUGCAUUCGAGACUGCGUAGCUAGGGUGCGGAAGAGGGAAGCGGAAUUUCCGGUGUAGCGGUGAAAUGCGUAGAUAUUCGCAAGAACACCAGUGGCGAGGGCGGCUCACUGGCCCGGUACUGACGCUGAGGUGCGAAAGCGUGGGGAGCAAACAGG
This 253-nucleotide ribosomal RNA is filed under the name uncultured bacterium. RNAcentral's name for it is "partial 16S ribosomal RNA". It matches the Rfam family "Bacterial small subunit ribosomal RNA", at positions 524 to 776 of the family's 1533-position model. The record is from RNAcentral.